RNAcentral lists this ribosomal RNA (1392 nucleotides) under Staphylococcaceae bacterium b5_i8. Its description in RNAcentral is "bacterial SSU rRNA". It matches the Rfam family "Bacterial small subunit ribosomal RNA", at positions 56 to 1428 of the family's 1533-position model. Lineage: Bacteria; Bacillati; Bacillota; Bacilli; Caryophanales; Staphylococcaceae. The record is from RNAcentral.
UGCAGUUCGAGCGAACAGAUAAGGAGCUUGCUCCUUUGACGUUAGCGGCGGACGGGUGAGUAACACGUGGGUAACCUACCUAUAAGACUGGGAUAACUUCGGGAAACCGGAGCUAAUACCGGAUAACAUUUGGAACCGCAUGGUUCUAAAGUGAAAGAUGGUUUUGCUAUCACUUAUAGAUGGACCCGCGCCGUAUUAGCUAGUUGGUAAGGUAACGGCUUACCAAGGCAACGAUACGUAGCCGACCUGAGAGGGUGAUCGGCCACACUGGAACUGAGACACGGUCCAGACUCCUACGGGAGGCAGCAGUAGGGAAUCUUCCGCAAUGGGCGAAAGCCUGACGGAGCAACGCCGCGUGAGUGAUGAAGGGUUUCGGCUCGUAAAACUCUGUUAUUAGGGAAGAACAAAUGUGUAAGUAACUGUGCACAUCUUGACGGUACCUAAUCAGAAAGCCACGGCUAACUACGUGCCAGCAGCCGCGGUAAUACGUAGGUGGCAAGCGUUAUCCGGAAUUAUUGGGCGUAAAGCGCGCGUAGGCGGUUUCUUAAGUCUGAUGUGAAAGCCCACGGCUCAACCGUGGAGGGUCAUUGGAAACUGGGAAACUUGAGUGCAGAAGAGGAAAGUGGAAUUCCAUGUGUAGCGGUGAAAUGCGCAGAGAUAUGGAGGAACACCAGUGGCGAAGGCGACUUUCUGGUCUGUAACUGACGCUGAUGUGCGAAAGCGUGGGGAUCAAACAGGAUUAGAUACCCUGGUAGUCCACGCCGUAAACGAUGAGUGCUAAGUGUUAGGGGGUUUCCGCCCCUUAGUGCUGCAGCUAACGCAUUAAGCACUCCGCCUGGGGAGUACGACCGCAAGGUUGAAACUCAAAGGAAUUGACGGGGACCCGCACAAGCGGUGGAGCAUGUGGUUUAAUUCGAAGCAACGCGAAGAACCUUACCAAAUCUUGACAUCCUUUGAAAACUCUAGAGAUAGAGCCUUCCCCUUCGGGGGACAAAGUGACAGGUGGUGCAUGGUUGUCGUCAGCUCGUGUCGUGAGAUGUUGGGUUAAGUCCCGCAACGAGCGCAACCCUUAAGCUUAGUUGCCAUCAUUAAGUUGGGCACUCUAGGUUGACUGCCGGUGACAAACCGGAGGAAGGUGGGGAUGACGUCAAAUCAUCAUGCCCCUUAUGAUUUGGGCUACACACGUGCUACAAUGGACAAUACAAAGGGCAGCUAAACCGCGAGGUCAUGCAAAUCCCAUAAAGUUGUUCUCAGUUCGGAUUGUAGUCUGCAACUCGACUACAUGAAGCUGGAAUCGCUAGUAAUCGUAGAUCAGCAUGCUACGGUGAAUACGUUCCCGGGUCUUGUACACACCGCCCGUCACACCAGCGAGAGUUUGUAACACCCGAAGCC